This 426-nucleotide ribosomal RNA is filed under the name uncultured delta proteobacterium. Its description in RNAcentral is "bacterial SSU rRNA". It matches the Rfam family "Bacterial small subunit ribosomal RNA", at positions 116 to 523 of the family's 1533-position model. Lineage: Bacteria; Deltaproteobacteria. The record is from RNAcentral.
CGUAGGUAACCUUCCUUCGAGCGGGGGACAACGGUCCGAAAGGACCGCUAAUACCGCAUACGUUCCCGAGGACCCCGGUCCUCGGGAGGAAAGCUAGGGUAGCAAUACUCCGGCACUCGAAGCGGGGCCUACGCCGCAUCAGCUAGUUGUGGGGUAAUGGCCUACCAAGGCAAAGACGCGUAGCUGGUCUGAGAGGAUGAUCAGCCACACUGGGACUGAGACACGGCCCAGACUCCUACGGGAGGCAGCAGUGGGGAAUAUUGGACAAUGGGCGCAAGCCUGAUCCAGCCACGCCGCGUGAGUGAUGAAGGCCUUCGGGUCGUAAAGCUCUGUGGGGAGGGACGAACCGCUGCACGUUAAUAGCGUGCAGCAUGACGGUACCUCCUUAGCAAGCACCGGCUAACUUCGUGCCAGCAGCCGCGGUAA